UCCACCUUCAAUACCCUCUUCGUCGCCGGCCCCAGCCCCCUGUCGCUCCACCCGCAGCUUCUCCUCCGCCUCCUCUCCGCCCUCUCCUCCACCGCCGCCUACUUCCCUUCCGCGCUCCACCUCCUUCGGCUUGUGUCCUCCCGCCUCCCCCUCCCAGCGCCGCUCGUCCUCGCCUCCCACAACCUGCUCAUUGAGGCCGCCGCCCGCUCCGGCCACCUCGCCGUGUCGCUCUCGCUCUUCCACCGCCUGCGAUCCCUCCACGUGUCGCCAGACGCCCACACCUACCGCAUGCUUACCCAGUCGCUCUGCCGCCGUGGUCAGGUCCGCACUGCCACUACCCUGCUCGACGAAAUGCUGCACAGGGGCAUCCCUGCCGAUCCUCUGGCGUACACCACCGUGCUCAACGCCCUCUGCCGCAAGAAGCAGCUCCGUGAGGCCUACCGAUUGCUGUGCCUCAUGCGAGGCCGCGGGGUCUCGCCUGACAUUGUGCACUACAACACCGUCAUCGUCGGAAUGUGCCGUGAGGGGCGGCCACUGGAUGCCUGCAAGGUGAUUGGUGAUAUGACGGAUAGUGGCUGCAUACCGAAUGCAGCGUCGUAUGCAGCGGUGGUGAAUGGGUUGUGCGUGAGUGGGUUGUUUGCCAAGGCAGAGACAUACUUGGAAGAUAUGGUGGGUAAAGGGAUUGUACCACAUUUUUCGGUGUUCCAUUCGGUGAUCAAGGGGUGUUGCACAGUGGGAAAGGUAGAGGAGGCUGCUAGGAUGAUGAGUCGGAUGCUUGAUCUUGGGAUGCCUCCACAUGUUGAGACAUGGAGUUCAGUGAUCAGCAGUAUUUGUAAUGACGAGGACUAUGUUGAGGUGAUUUUGUUGCAAAUGCUGAAAGGAAGGGGGCGCUGCUCGAAGACGAUCUCGAGGAGUACCUUGUGA
RNAcentral lists this ribosomal RNA (924 nucleotides) under Triticum aestivum (bread wheat). RNAcentral's name for it is "partial small subunit ribosomal RNA". The record is from RNAcentral. Lineage: Eukaryota; Viridiplantae; Streptophyta; Magnoliopsida; Poales; Poaceae.